This 495-nucleotide ribosomal RNA is filed under the name uncultured bacterium. RNAcentral describes it as "partial 16S ribosomal RNA". It matches the Rfam family "Bacterial small subunit ribosomal RNA", at positions 28 to 507 of the family's 1533-position model. The record is from RNAcentral.
GAUGAACGCUGGCGGCGUGCCUAAUACAUGCAAGUCGAACGCUGAAGGAGGAGCUUGCUCUUCUGGAUGAGUUGCGAACGGGUGAGUAACGCGUAGGUAACCUGCCUGGUAGCGGGGGAUAACUAUUGGAAACGAUAGCUAAUACCGCAUGACAACAGUUAUUGCAUGAUAACUGUUUAAAAGGGGCAACUGCUCCACUACCAGAUGGACCUGCGUUGUAUUAGCUAGUUGGUGAGGUAACGGCUCACCAAGGCGGCGAUACAUAGCCGACCUGAGAGGGGGAUCGACCACACUGGGACUGAGACACGGCCCAGACUCCUACGGGAGGCAGCAGUAGGGAAUCUUCGGCAAUGGACGGAAGUCUGACCGAGCAACGCCGCGGGAGUGAAGAAGGUUUUCGGAUCGUAAAGCUCUGUUGUAAGAGAAGAACGAGUGUGAGAGUGGAAAGUUCACACUGUGACGGUAUCUUACCAGAAAGGGACGGCUAACUACGUG